ACGUACAUUUACUUCCGGUCAUUUAUUUUUGUGUUUUUAUCAGUUAGCCCUUGCUGUGUAACAAAUCACCCCCAAACCCAGUAGUAUAAAAUGAUCAGCCUUUAUUACUGCUCACAAGCUGAUAGGUCAGUUCUCUGGACUCGGCUGGACUCGCUCGUGCAUCUGUGGUCAGCAGUGGGUGACACAGGAGGCUCUGCGGAUCUUGGCUGGGCUGGCUCACUUCUCUGGAGCCUUGUCUGGGACUGCUCAGCUCUGGUCCACGUGGUCCCUCAUCCUCCAGCGGCUGGUUGGAAUCGUUUGCACGGGUGGCAGGGUUCUGAGAGAAGGCAGAAGCACAGAAGCCUCUUGAGGUCUAAGCUGGGACUGGGCAACCCUCCGUGCUGUAGGUGAAAGAGGAAGACAGCUCACAGUGAAAGUGAUGAUCAGGGGAGGCAGAGCAGGCUGGCAGAGCACCCACUCCAGCUACGGGAAGACGUGUGAAGAGCGAGGAAGUCUUCCUGGAGGAGGUGUUGUCUCCCUAGCAUUGUCCAGUCUGGAUGUGGUUGCUCCAGGCACCCAUGGGGGAACAACGUGCUAAAGCUUGAGGCUUGAGAGGGCGGCCUGGAAUGAUGACCCCCAUCCUGGGGCUUCACGGACGAUGGGCGGAUCCUGUUCCCCUUGGAGAAGCGCUGUGUAAACUGUGGAGUAAUCCUGCUAGCCUU
This 701-nucleotide long non-coding RNA is filed under the name Equus asinus (donkey). RNAcentral describes it as "lncRNA (ENSEASG00005025185.1, ENSEASG00020037789.1)". The record is from RNAcentral. Lineage: Eukaryota; Metazoa; Chordata; Mammalia; Perissodactyla; Equidae.